This 595-nucleotide ribosomal RNA is filed under the name Exserohilum rostratum. Its description in RNAcentral is "eukaryotic LSU rRNA". The stretch from base 210 to 363 matches the Rfam family "5.8S ribosomal RNA". Lineage: Eukaryota; Fungi; Ascomycota; Dothideomycetes; Pleosporales; Pleosporaceae. The record is from RNAcentral.
CGCUUGAGGGGGGCCUGCGGAGGGAUCAUUACACAACAAAAAUAUGAGGGUGUGGUUUGCUGGCAACAGCGUCCGCCCCAAGUAUUUUUCACCCAUGUCUUUUGCGCACUUUUUGUUUCCUGGGCGAGUUCGCUCGCCACCAGGACCCAACCAUAAACCUUUUUUUAUGCAGUUGCAAUCAGCGUCAGUAUAAUAAUUCAAUUUAUUAAAACUUUCAACAACGGAUCUCUUGGUUCUGGCAUCGAUGAAGAACGCAGCGAAAUGCGAUACGUAGUGUGAAUUGCAGAAUUCAGUGAAUCAUCGAAUCUUUGAACGCACAUUGCGCCCUUUGGUAUUCCAAAGGGCAUGCCUGUUCGAGCGUCAUUUGUACCCUCAAGCUUUGCUUGGUGUUGGGCGUCUUUUUGUCUCUCCCCUUGUUGGGGGAGACUCGCCUUAAAACGAUUGGCAGCCGACCUACUGGUUUUCGGAGCGCAGCACAAAUUUGCGCCUUCCAAUCCACGGGGCGGCAUCCAGCAAGCCUUUGUUUUCUAUAACAAAUCCACAUUUUGACCUCGGAUCAGGUAGGGAUACCCGCUGAACUUAAGCAUAUCAAAAA